AAACCAGCACCUCAAGUGGUCAGGAUGAUUAUUGGGCCUAAAGCAUCCGUAGCCUGUUCUGUAAGUUUUCGGUUAAAUCCAUUAGCUCAACUAAUGGGCCGCCGAAAAUACUGUAGAACUAGGGAGUGGGAGAGGUAGACGGUAUUCGGUAGGAAGGGGUAAAAUCCUUUGAUCUAUUGAGGACCACCUGUGGCGAAGGCGGUCUACCAGAACACGUUCGACGGUGAGGGAUGAAAGCUGGGGGAGCAAACCGGAUUAGAAACCCAAGUAGUCC
This 274-nucleotide ribosomal RNA is filed under the name uncultured bacterium. RNAcentral describes it as "partial 16S ribosomal RNA". It matches the Rfam family "Archaeal small subunit ribosomal RNA", at positions 473 to 747 of the family's 1478-position model. The record is from RNAcentral.